AGCACCAGUAAACUGGCUGAUGUCAUCUCUCUGGUAGCCACAUGUCUGCCUCCCAGCUCCUGGGAUUUUGCCCAUCCUCACCUCAAAAUUGCACAAGACGCGUCUGUAGCUGGUUUGUUCAGUUUCUCACAGCCUGGUACCAAUGAAGCGAAGAGAUGAGGCCAAAGAUGAGCUCAAACCAUCUCUGGGCACCACAGAAAGAAGGACAAAGAAAGAGGUGAUCAGUUCCUGCUGAGAGAAUCCCGCAGAUACCCCCCUCCCUUACUGGAACCAAAUUAUAACACCUUCAGGGCACAAGACUUGGAACACAGCCAUGCACAGAAGGAGUGAUCAACAAAUGCAGAAGUUGGACAUGUUAGCAAACAUUUACGGUUUCUGGAAAUUGCAACUUCCAAGGACAGUUUUCCACAUGAUGGGAAAUCAAA
Molecule: long non-coding RNA, 425 nt
Organism: Myotis myotis
Lineage: Eukaryota; Metazoa; Chordata; Mammalia; Chiroptera; Vespertilionidae
Exons: 3
Source: RefSeq, a predicted model, not a curated record